Rhineura floridana is the source of this 87-nucleotide small nucleolar RNA. RefSeq annotates it as small nucleolar RNA SNORD70. The record is from RefSeq and is a predicted model, not a curated record. The transcript has a single exon. NCBI's taxonomy places the organism in Eukaryota, Metazoa, Chordata, Lepidosauria, Squamata, Rhineuridae.
UUAUCUGUUGUCCGUGAUGUUUGAUUCGUAGAACUGAAUCUCUGUGAUUGCACAAAUUUUCGUCACUACCACUGAGACAGCAGAUGA